This 3073-nucleotide long non-coding RNA is filed under the name Sus scrofa (pig). RNAcentral's name for it is "lncRNA (ENSSSCG00000062324.1)". The record is from RNAcentral. Lineage: Eukaryota; Metazoa; Chordata; Mammalia; Artiodactyla; Suidae.
UUUUUUUUUUUUUUUUUUUUUUUUUUUUGCCACACCUGUGGCAUGCAGAAGUUCCCAGGCCAGGGACAGAACCUGCCCUAGAGCAGUGACAAUGCCAGAUUCUUAACCCACUAAGCCCCCAGGGAACUCCCCCAGUUCUCGACUGAUCACUUACCAACCCUGGAACUUUGGGAAUGUCCUUAGACUUCACUACAUUUCUGUUUCUUUAACAAGAACUUGCCUAUUUAUUUUCCAAGGCAUGUGAUGUUGUCCUUCAUCAGCAGAGUAGGAUAUUAGCAGUCUGGACUUGCAAUCCAAGAGAACCUUAAAAUAUUUGCAGUUGAAUUCUGCUGAAAUUCCUGGUUGAGAGGAGUGGUUUUUGGGAAAAGAACUAUUUAACCCCUCUCCCGGGAACUCCAAAAUCUGUCUCUGGAUCAAGUCACAUUAUGGGUAGCCUACACCUUUAGAUUAGUUAGCUCCUUUGAAGAAUCACCUUCACUUAGGUGCAUUUACUAAAGCUCACAGAUGAGAGACCCUUGUAGGAAAUCCACUCUCUCUCUCUCUCUUUUUUUUUUUUUUUUUUGGUCUUUUUAGGGCCAUACUUAUGGCAUGUGAAAGUUCCCAGGCUAGGGGUCGAAUUGGUGCUGUAGCUGCCAGCCUACACCCCAACCACAGCAACGCAGGAUCUGAGCUGCGUCUGUGACCUACACCUCAGCUCACGGCAAUGCCAGAUCUUUAACCCACUGAUCAAGGCCAGGGAUCAAACCCAAGUCCUCAUGGACACUAAUUGGGCUUGCUAACUACUGAGCCAUGAUGGGAACUCUGAAAACCUAUUCUUAUCAAGUGCCUGGCAUGUGCUGGACACAGUAAGUGAGUGAGUUCAUUAUGAUGGUGAACACCUCAGACACAAGUCUGUGCCAUCAUGGAGUUUAUCCAACAGUGGAUCUAGAGCUGGCAAUGUCAGGUGUAAUACUGUGUGGUGAGGAGUAAGACUGGAGCAGUUCAGAGCAUGUAGGAGGAUUUUAUGGACGGUGUCCCAGAGAAAGUGAGAUGUAAGCUAUAGCCUGAGUUGAAGGUAGUCAGAACAUAGGAAAGUGUUCAAGGCAGAGAAUAGCAUUGGUGAAGUCUGGAGGAAGAAUAAACAAGGUGAAUUCUAACAACUUAGAAAAGUCUAGAAUGGCUGCAAAAGGAUUCCAGUGAGAAAGACAUAAGGCUAGAAGAGAGGAGCAAGGCUAGUCAAACAGAAUCUCAAGCCUAGUGAAGGACUUUUCCAUAAAAUAUUGUUGAAAGCUGAACUAUAUCACUUAAUAUGCAUUAUAUAAAACUAUACAGGGGAAAUUCUUCCAGAAUUCUAAUUUAGGAAAAAUCUUGUCCUUGCUAUCUAAUAACUUAUUUUUCUGGAGUCGCAUUGAUUGUAGGGUAUCCAGAGCAGUGCCUUUUCCUUCUGCAUCUUAUUUUAAGAAUAUUAAUCAUUUUUCUUACAACUAUUGAUAUGAUUUAUUUCCUCCUUUGCUGUAAUAAGAAAUGUGUUAACAUUCUGUGUUUUCCUAUCACUCUGGUUACUAGAAAAGCUAAAUAUUUGAUGCUUAAUUAAUAGUUGAUACAGGAUAUAUGAGGUCUUUAGUAUAAUCUGGGGGGCUUUAAGAAAAACAACACAAAAAUUUAAGUAAGAAAAAUGUUUGAUUAAAUAAGUAAAGAGGGGAGUCCCGUCGUGGCGCAGUGGUUAACGAAUCCAACUAGGAACCAUGAGGUUGCAGGUUUGGUCCCUGCCCUUGCUCAGUGGGUUAACGAUCCAGCGUCGCCGUGAGCUGUGGUGUAGGUUGCAGACGUGGCUCGGAUCCCGCGUUGCUGUGGCUCUGGCGUAGGCCAGUGGCUAUAGCUCCGAUUGGACCCCUAGCCUGGGAACCUCCAUAUGCCUCGGGAGCGGCUCAAAGAAAUAGCAAAAAGACAAAAAUAAAUAAAAUAAAAUAAAAUAAAAUAAAUAAGUAAAGAAAUUGCAAAAAAAUUUCAGAUUUUAAAGAGUUAACAAAUAGUACAAACAUUAUAACAUAUGGAAAAACAUCUUAAUGUUUUUAGUAGCUGCCUGACCUCUAUUACAGCAUCCAGGCAUCUGAAGCCCUAUUUCUCCUCCUCUACUCAUGUGUUUCCAGUGCCAGCUUCCAAGACAUAUUCAUAUCACGAUAUGAUCUCUGGUCCUGCACCUUCAGGUCACGUGGAGAAUGAGUAGGUAUAGAGAGUUAGGCGUGGAAAGUAGGAAUCUUUGUAGAAGCCAUUCCCUCAUGAGGAUGGCUAGCCAUGUUGUAACUCUCUAUAAGAGUUUACUGUGUAUCAUACACAUCUGUCACACUAAACCCAAACUAAAUGUCUCCCCAUCUCAGCUUCCCAGAAUGCCCAUGGCCAUUCCAGUGCCAUUUGAAUUUAGGAGAAGCGUGAUGGAGGAACCAUGGGAGUGGAAAGAGACAGAGGGUUAACUAAUUGUAGGUAACUGACAAUUGAGCCUAUGAACUUCCUUUCUGCUUUGUCUACCUUCUAACGUAACUAACCUUACUAUUUUUUUUUGCUGUGAACUGUCUAAAAUAGUUUUUGAGAAGAAAUAGAUAUAAAAAUUUAAUCAAUAGGGUAGUGACCAUAAACCCUACCUAGUUAUCAUUCUUUUAUAGUAAUAAUACCUUAAAAUGUAUGACAAUAAAUAACUUCAUUCACUGUAUGUUGGGCACUGGGCUAAGUGGUUUAGAUGAUUUAUCCUAUUUAAUAUUGACCAAAGCCCCAUGUGAUGGGUACUGUGAUUCCCCCACCAACAUUUUACUGUUGAAAAAAAUGGAAUCUUAAUGAAGUCAAAUAAUUUGCCAAAGGCCAGGUGGUAGGAUGAGAAUUUGAACCCAGGUCUGCCUGCAGUAAAAAGUUUCCCUGAAAAUGGUAUGGACAUACAUGGUAUGUUUAUUUUUCACCAGUGGUGUGAGGACAGGAGGACCAAGUUUCUAUAAAGAGCUUGUUUGUAAAAAUGAAGUAGGAAGUGAACUUACAUGAAAUGGGUUUGUGAAAUUUCAGUUCCAAAUCCUAACCUGAAUUAUGAUUUUUUAAAGUACAAUUGCAU